CUCUGGGCCAAAGGAGUCAGUGCUGGGGUUGGUGUGUAUGUGUGUUGGAGGGGGGCAGGCCAGAAACUGAGACAGGAGGAGAGGAGCCAAAUCAGGUAGUCACUGUAUUUUAUUGGAAAACAUUGAUAUAUAUUUUUCUUCACAGCUUGAACUGAACACAAUAUUGCCCGGUUUAAAAAAAACAAAACCAAAACAUUCCGAAAAUGUCCACAGCCUCACGCCUACCUGCCCUUACCCUCAGCUCUUGGCUGGGUCUCCCACUAUGCCCCAUCCCUCCUUCCCUCAGAGGCUGGGUGCCAGAGGGUGGAUGAGAAGAGAUUCUCAAAGCUGGGCAGGUCCCAGGAAAAGCCACUUGAUCGACCUGGGCAGUGAGGGGAAGCAGGGGGUGGGGGGUGGGGUGGGGAGGUGGUGGGGGGAGCCAGAUGAAAUGAACAGAAAAGGGGAAAAAACCCAGACGACUGAACUGCCCACAUUGACUUACUUGUCCCAGAGGCGAAAGUCAGAAGCAAGGGCACGGAUCAUGCUCUCCGCUGGGGGAGUAUGGGGGCAGGCAGGUGGGCGAGGGAAGAGGCAGGGAAGAGGGCACGGAGCACAGAUGUGAGGAAGCGGCGCCAAGUCACCACGGAGAAGCGGGAGGUGCUGGCGGACCAGGACGCAGAGGCUGCUGUAGCUGCCGUCCCCUGGGCAGCUGGCCGACAAGACUGUUUUAUUGCAGAACAGCUCGAGAGCGCUUCAGGAACGCGGGCAAGUCCAAUUUGCAGAGUGGCCAAAUGAGCAGUCCCCACCCAGCCAAACCUCAGAAAGCCAAUCAGAUGGUUUCAGAACAGCAGCCAGUGGGAUGUGAGUGUUGCCCACUGUCAGUCCCCUUCUGUGAGUUGGCCCCCUCGACCCCCUCCUGGGCCACAUCCAGUCAACGCCACAAUUCCUCAACGCCCCCUCAGUCCUUCUGGAAUGCCUCUCUUGGCACCCCUGCCCCAACAGGCUGCUGGGAUCUGCACGUGGAAUCACAGGGCUGGUUGCAUGCAACGGCAAAGGGCAUGCUCUUCUGCCUGGGGGAGGGCCUCUUGUCCCUCCCAGCAGGUCCCGGGACAGGGCUGGCAGCCACCCCAGCACCCAAAAUAAGAUGACAAACAAGAGGAAACAAACCAAAAUGGAGGAGAGCCAUCCGGGCUGGAGGAGGGCAGAGGCUCCCCAAGGGGAUCUGGGGAGGGCUUCAACUUAUGAAUGCAUCAGGCCUUGGAAGACAUGGAUGGAAGAGGCGAGGGCAAAAGGAAGAGAUGAGGGGCAUGGAGAGAGACUCAGGGAAGAAGGAGAAAGAGCAAUCAUGCAGCUUGGGACAAAUCUUUUGUUGCUUUAUCAGAUUCUCAGUCAAUCAAUUGGUGUUUGCUAGAACCGGGGUACGCAGGGGAGUGUUGAAGAGAGAGUGCGCGCGCGAGAAGAGAGAGAUCAAGAGAACGGGCAUCGCCAGCUGCCCGGGGGGCCUUCACUUUGCAGUCAUCAUCUGUACAAACUCUGU
RNAcentral lists this long non-coding RNA (1516 nucleotides) under Homo sapiens (human). Its description in RNAcentral is "non-protein coding lnc-PPP5D1-1:1". The record is from RNAcentral. Lineage: Eukaryota; Metazoa; Chordata; Mammalia; Primates; Hominidae.